GGGGCCAUGGUCAAGCGGGAAGACGCGUCCCUCGCACGGACGAAUCGGCGGUUCGAAUCCGCCUGGCUCCACCA
Molecule: transfer RNA, 74 nt
Filed under: Armatimonadota bacterium
Lineage: Bacteria; Bacillati; Armatimonadota
Also listed under: 2 other names
Description: Armatimonadetes bacterium tRNA-Ala
Rfam family: tRNA
About the family: Transfer RNA (tRNA) molecules are approximately 80 nucleotides in length. Their secondary structure includes four short double-helical elements and three loops (D, anti-codon, and T loops).
Source: RNAcentral